This 497-nucleotide ribosomal RNA is filed under the name uncultured bacterium. RNAcentral's name for it is "partial 16S ribosomal RNA". It matches the Rfam family "Bacterial small subunit ribosomal RNA", at positions 28 to 507 of the family's 1533-position model. The record is from RNAcentral.
GAUGAACGCUGGCGGCGUGCCUAAUACAUGCAAGUCGAGCGAACAGACGAGGAGCUUGCUCCUCUGACGUUAGCGGCGGACGGGUGAGUAACACGUGGAUAACCUACCUAUAAGACUGGGAUAACUUCGGGAAACCGGAGCUAAUACCGGAUAAUAUAUUGAACCGCAUGGUUCAAUAGUGAAAGACGGUUUUGCCGUCACUUAUAGAUGGAUCCGCGCCGCAUUAGCUAGUUGGUAAGGUAACGGCUUACCAAGGCAACGAUGCGUAGCCGACCUGAGAGGGGGAUCGGCCACACUGGAACUGAGACACGGUCCAGACUCCUACGGGAGGCAGCAGUAGGGAAUCUUCCGCAAUGGGCGAAAGCCUGACGGAGCAACGCCGCGUGAGUGAUGAAGGUCUUCGGAUCGUAAAACUCUGUUAUGAGGUAAGAACAAAUGUGUAAGUAACUAUGCACGUCUUGACGGUACCUAAUCAGAAAGCCACGGCUAACUACGUG